This is a non-coding RNA of Triticum aestivum (bread wheat), 127 nucleotides long. The record is from Rfam. Lineage: Eukaryota; Viridiplantae; Streptophyta; Magnoliopsida; Poales; Poaceae.
GAUGUACUCCCCCCAUCCCAAAAUUCUUGUCUUAAAUUUGUCUAAAUACGGAUGUAUCAAGUCACGUUUUAGUUCACCGUAUCUAGACAAAUCUAAUACAAGAAUUUCGGGACGGAGGGAGUAUAUA